CGAGUCCGAGGAGCUACGGCUCUUAAGUGAUACAAGUCAGACUUCCCAGCAAAGCCCGAACCACGUUAAUUUCUAAUUACCUGUACCCGAAACCGACACAGGUGGGUAGGUAAAGUAUACUAAGGGGCGCGAGAUAACUCUCUCUAAGGAACUCGGCAAAAUGACUCCGUAACUUCGGGAGAAGGAGUGCCUUAUUUAUAAGGUUGCAAUAACAAGAUCCAAGCAACUGUUUAUCAAAAACACAGGUCUCCGCUAAGUCGUAAGACGAUGUAUGGGGGCUGACGCCUGCCCAGUGCCAGAAGGUUAAAGAAGUUGGUUAGUGUAUGCGAAGCUGAUGACUGAAGCCCUGGUGAACGGCGGCCGUAACAAUAACGGUCCUAAGGUAGCGAAAUUCCUUGUCGGGUAGUUCCGACCCGCACGAAAGGCGUAAUGAUUUGGAUACUGUCUCGGAGAGAGGCUCGGUGAAAUAGACUUGUCUGUGAAGAUGCGGACUACCUGCACCAGGACAGAAAGACCCUAUGAAGCUUUACUGUAACUUGAAAUUGGAAUUGGACUUUGCUUGCGCAGUAUAGGUGGGAAGCGUUGAAGAUAUUCUUGCGGGAGUAUUGGAGCUAUCAGUGAGAUACCACUCUUGUAAUGUUAGAUUUCUAACUUUGAACCAUAAUCUGGUCAAAGAACAGUUUCAGGUGGGCAGUUUGACUGGGGCGGUCGCCUCCCAAAUGGUAACGGAGGCGUACAAAGGUUUCCUCUGAACGGAUAGAAAUCGUAUCUAGAGUGUAAAGGCAUAAGGAAGCUUGACUGUGAGACCUACAAGUCGAGCAGGGACGAAAGUCGGUCUUAGUGAUCUGACGGUACUGAGUGGAAAGGCCGUCACUCAACGGAUAAAAGUUACUCUAGGAUAACAGGCUGAUCUCCCCCAAGAGUUCACAUCGACGGGGAGGUUUGGUACCUCGAUGUCGGCUCAUCGCAUCCUGGGGCGGUAGUACGUCCCAAGGGUUGGGCUGUUCGCCCAUGAAAGCGGUACGCGAGCUGGGUUCAAAACGUCGUGAGACAGUUCGGUCCAUAUCCGGUGUAGGCGUUAGAAUAUUGAGAGGAGCCUUCUUUAGUACGAGAGGACCGAGAAGGACACACCGCUGGUGUACCAGUUAUCGUGCCAACGGUAAACGCUGGGUAGCUAUGUGUGGAGUGGAUAACCGCUGAAAGCAUCUAAGUGGGAAGCCCACCUCAAGAUGAGUAUUCUCA
This 1242-nucleotide ribosomal RNA is filed under the name metagenome. RNAcentral describes it as "bacterial LSU rRNA". It matches the Rfam family "Bacterial large subunit ribosomal RNA", at positions 1564 to 2816 of the family's 2925-position model. The record is from RNAcentral.